Molecule: ribosomal RNA, 483 nt
Filed under: uncultured bacterium
Lineage: Bacteria
Description: bacterial SSU rRNA
Rfam family: Bacterial small subunit ribosomal RNA
Source: RNAcentral
CGACUGGCGGCAUGCUUUACACAUGCAAGUCGAACGGCAGCACGGGUGCUUGCACCUGGUGGCGAGUGGCGGACGGGUGAGUAAUACAUCGGAACGUAUCCAGAAGAGGGGGAUAACGCAUCGAAAGAUGUGCUAAUACCGCAUAUUCUCUGAGGAGGAAAGCAGGGGAUCGAAAGACCUUGCGCUUUGGGAGCGGUCCGAUGUCUGAUUAGCUAGUUGGUGGGGUAAAGGCCUACCAAGGCGACGAUCAGUAGUUGGUCUGAGAGGACGACCAGCCACACUGGGACUGAGACACGGCCCAGACUCCUACGGGAGGCAGCAGUGGGGAAUUUUUGGACAAUGGGCGCAAGCCUGAUCCAGCAAUGCCGCGUGAGUGAAGAAGGCCUUCGGGUUGUAAAGCUCUUUCAGUCGAGAAGAAAAAGCUGCAGUGAAUAACUGUAGUUCAUGACGGUAUCGACAGAAGAAGCACCGGCUAACUACGUG